This 558-nucleotide ribosomal RNA is filed under the name uncultured Providencia sp. RNAcentral's name for it is "bacterial SSU rRNA". It matches the Rfam family "Bacterial small subunit ribosomal RNA", at positions 1 to 573 of the family's 1533-position model. The record is from RNAcentral. Lineage: Bacteria; Pseudomonadati; Pseudomonadota; Gammaproteobacteria; Enterobacterales; Morganellaceae.
UCGGCUUAGAGUUUGAUCAUGGCUCAGAUUGAACGCUGGCGGCAGGCCUAACACAUGCAAGUCGAGCGGUAGGGAAGCUUGCUUCCCACAAGCGGGGGACGGGUGAGUAAUGUAUGGGGAUCUGCCCGAUAGAGGGGGAUAACUACUGGAAACGGUAGCUAAUACCGCAUAAUCUCUCAAGAGCAAAGCAGUUCGUUGCGCUAUCGGAUGAACCCAUAUGGGAUUAGCUAUUUGGUGAGGUAAUGGCUCACCAAGGCGACAAUCCCUAGCUGGUCUGAGAGGAUGAUCAGCCACACUGGGACUGAGACACGGCCCCCACUCCUACGGGAGGCACCACUGGGGAAUAUUGCGCAAUGGGCGCAAGCCUGAUGCAGCCAUGCCGCGUGUAUGAAGAAAGCCUUAGGGUUGUAAAGUACUUUCAGUUGGGAGGAAGGCGUUGAUUUAUAUCAACGAUUGACGUUACCAACAGAAGAAGCACCGGCUAACUCCGUGCCAGCAGCCGCGGUAAUACGGAGGGUGCAAGCGUUAAUCGGAAUUACUGGGCGUAAAGCGCACGCA